CUGGAGGGACAGGGCACCGUUACCGCGGUCCACACCGUGGACGACCGAGGCUUUUAGAAGAACAGGAUGAGUGAGACACGAAGCCACGGGUGGCAGUAAAGAGCCUCCGCCGAGAAGAGCUGCGUGGGACCGCCUCCGUUCAACUCGCUCCCGCAGUGUUUAGAGGCUGUGAUGCUGCUCCUGAGCGUCGGUGAUCGAGGACAAGCGCAGUGCGGGACUCGAGGGUACGAUGGCAGAAGCAGGAUGAGGGCCUGGAACCAGCAGCCUUCUGGUCAGUGACAGGCCAUAUCCUCGCAGCGAACGAAGGCCUCGCUUGCAGCCACUGGACGAAUGGCAGAGUAAAAGUGUGAUGUAAUCCCAGAAUGCACUGGGCACGGCCGC
Scleropages formosus (Asian bonytongue) is the source of this 381-nucleotide long non-coding RNA. RefSeq lists it as uncharacterized. The record is from RefSeq and is a predicted model, not a curated record. Lineage: Eukaryota; Metazoa; Chordata; Actinopteri; Osteoglossiformes; Osteoglossidae. The transcript has 3 exons.